RNAcentral lists this ribosomal RNA (253 nucleotides) under uncultured bacterium. RNAcentral describes it as "partial 16S ribosomal RNA". It matches the Rfam family "Bacterial small subunit ribosomal RNA", at positions 524 to 776 of the family's 1533-position model. The record is from RNAcentral.
UACAGAGGUCCCAAGCGUUGUUCGGAUUUACUGGGCGUAAAGGGCGCGUAGGCGGUUAUAUGAGUGUGAUGUGAAAGCCCCGGGCUUAACCUGGGAAGUGCAUUGCAAACUGUAUAGCUGGAGUAUAUGAGAGGGUGGCGGAAUUUCCGGUGUAGCGGUGAAAUGCGUAGAGAUCGGAAGGAACGUCAAUGGCGAAGGCAGCCACCUGGCAUAAUACUGACGCUGAGGCGCGAAAGCAUGGGGAGCGAACAGG